AUACUCUGAGAGGCGAUGGGGAGCCGCUUAGCGGCAUAAACUGACCCUAAUCAGGCUGCCAAGAAAAACCUCUAUGUGAAUUCUGUAGGUGCCCGUACCGCAAACCGACACAGGUAGAUGAGGAGAGUAUCCAAAGGUGCGCGAGUGAACCCUCGUUAAGGAAUUCGGCAAAAUAAUCCCGUAACUUCGGAAGAUGGGAUGCCCUAAGUAGGUGAAGCCCCUCGCGGGUGGAGCCCAAAAGGGCCGCAGAGAAACGGGCUGGGCGACUGUUUACCAAAAACACAGGUCUCUGCUAAGCCGCAAGGCAAUGUAUAGGGACUGACACGUGCCCGGUGCCGGUAAGUUAAGAGGAUGAGUUAGUCUUCGGACGAAGCUUUGAAUCGAAGCUCCGGUAAACGGCGGCCGUAACUAUAACGGUCCUAAGGUAGCGAAAUUCCUCGUCGGCUAAAAACCGACCUGCACGAAUCGUGUAACGACUUGGCCGCUGUCUCAACGAGGGACUCGGUGAAAUUGUAGUUCCGGUGAAGAUGCCGGAUACCCGCGGCAGGACAGAAAGACCCCGUGAACCUUUACUAUAGCUUGGUAUUGGAUUUUGACACUGUAUGUGUAGGAUAGGUGGGAGGCUUUGAAGCGGGAGCGCCAGCUCUCGUGGAGCCAAUCUUGAAAUACCACCCUUGCCUUGUUAAAAUUCUAACCUAAUCCCUUGAUCGGGAUUGGAGACAGUGCCAGGUGGGUAGUUUAACUGGGGCGGUUGCCUCCUAAAGCGUAACGGAGGCGCCCAAUGGUUCCCUCAGCGCGGUCGGUAAUCGCGCGUAGAGUGUAAAGGCAUACAGGGAGCUUGACUGCGAGACUUACAAGUCGAGCAGGUGCGAAAGCAGGGCUUAGUGAUCCGACGGUUGCAUGUGGAAGCGCCGAAGCUCAACGGAUAAAAGGUACUCCGGGGAUAACAGGCUUAUUGCCCCCAAGCGCUCAUAGCGACGGGGCAGUUUGGCACCUCGAUGUCGGCUCAGCGCAUCCUGGGGCUGGAGAAGGUCCCAAGGGUUUGGCUGUUCGCCAAUUAAAGCGCUACGCGAGCUGGGUUCAGAACGUCGUGAGACAGUUCGGUCCCUAUCCGCCGUGGGUGUAGGAUAUUUGAGGAGAUCUGACCCUAGUACGAGAGGACCGGGUUGGACGGACCUCUGGUCAACCAGUUGUUCCGCCAGGAGCAUCGCUGGGUAGCUACGUUCGGAAGGGAUAAACGCUGAAAGCAUCUAAGCGUCAAGCCCACUCCAAGACUAGAUAUCCCGUAGGGUUAACCUACCUGAAGGCCCCUCGUAGACUACGAGGUUGAUAGGCUGCAGGUGGAAGCGCAGUAAUGCGUGAAGCCGAGCAGUACUAAUUGGCCGUGAGGCUUGACC
RNAcentral lists this ribosomal RNA (1397 nucleotides) under marine metagenome. RNAcentral's name for it is "bacterial LSU rRNA". It matches the Rfam family "Bacterial large subunit ribosomal RNA", at positions 1551 to 2925 of the family's 2925-position model. The record is from RNAcentral.